CCUACGGGGGGCAGCAGUGGGGAAUAUUGGACAAUGGGGGGAACCCUGAUCCAGCCAUGCCGCGUGUGUGAAGAAGGCCCUCGGGUGGUAAAGCACUUUCAGUGAGGAAGAACGCCUGGUGGUUAAUACCCAUCAGGAAAGACAUCACUCACAGAAGAAGCACCGGCUAACUCCGUGCCAGCAGCCGCGGUAAUACGGAGGGUGCGAGCGUUAAUCGGAAUUACUGGGCGUAAAGCGCGCGUAGGUGGCUUGAUAAGCCGGUUGUGAAAGCCCCGGGCUCAACCUGGGAACGGCAUCCGGAACUGUCAAGCUAGAGUGCAGGAGAGGAAGGUAGAAUUCCCGGUGUAGCGGUGAAAUGCGUAGAGAUCGGGAGGAAUACCAGUGGCGAAGGCGGCCUUCUGGACUGACACUGACACUGAGGUGCGAAAGCGUGGGUAGCAAACAGGAUUAGAUACCCCAGUAGUC
RNAcentral lists this ribosomal RNA (465 nucleotides) under Vreelandella stevensii. RNAcentral describes it as "partial 16S ribosomal RNA". It matches the Rfam family "Bacterial small subunit ribosomal RNA", at positions 338 to 795 of the family's 1533-position model. The record is from RNAcentral. Lineage: Bacteria; Pseudomonadati; Pseudomonadota; Gammaproteobacteria; Oceanospirillales; Halomonadaceae.